UUCUUCGGGGCAGGGUGACACAAGAAGGAGAGACUCUGAUGUUUGUGAAUUCCCAACCGGCGGUAGAGUCCGCGACCCGGCGCGUUUCGCGCUGGCUGAUCUGGUGAGAUUCCAGAACCGACAGUAUAGUCUGGAUGAGAGAAGAA
Molecule: non-coding RNA, 146 nt
Filed under: uncultured Massilistercora sp.
Lineage: Bacteria; Bacillati; Bacillota; Clostridia; Eubacteriales
Description: FMN riboswitch (RFN element)
Rfam family: FMN riboswitch aptamer (RFN element)
About the family: The RFN element is a highly conserved domain that is found frequently in the 5'-untranslated regions of prokaryotic mRNAs that encode for flavin mononucleotide (FMN) biosynthesis and transport proteins. This element is a metabolite-dependent riboswitch that directly binds FMN in the absence of proteins.
Source: RNAcentral